UUUAUAAGCAGGGGGCGAAUUCAGUAUUUUAAUUUUAGGUAUGCAAAAUGAUAUGAAGCAUAACCAUGAAAAUUUGUCAAGCAAUUUCAAUUGCAAUAUCAUUUUUUAUAACUACAAAUACUUUCUAUUUUGAAAGUUCUAUUAUUAUGCCUUGAAACGUAGCUAAGAAUGAGCAAUUUAACAAGAAUGUGAGGUAUUCAUUAACUUGUACACAAGAGAGGCGCGAACAAUUAUAAUUUAAGGAUGCGAACU
RNAcentral lists this long non-coding RNA (252 nucleotides) under Actinidia chinensis (golden kiwifruit). RNAcentral's name for it is "long non-coding RNA (ACHI_LNC001823)". Lineage: Eukaryota; Viridiplantae; Streptophyta; Magnoliopsida; Ericales; Actinidiaceae. The record is from RNAcentral.